GUUUUUUUCAUCCAUCUCACGCCUUGCUUCGCGUACGCCACCAACACCAACAGAAGGAGGAGGAUGGGUGACCGGGGGAGGCUCUCCCGGCCCGGGAUGGGCCCCACGGGCCUUGCGGGCCUCCUAUAAAGCCGGCGCCACGCACAGCCGCAAACCCAUCCACCGCCAGCAACGCUCGCUCCUUCUCCCAUCCCGCCUCGCCUCAGCGCGUCAAUCCCAGCAGAUCGAUCCAUCCAUCCAUCCUCCUCCUCCUAGCGAGCGAGCGAUCAAGAGCAAACCCUAGCGCCGCCGUCGCCCCCGCGGUCUCUCCACAUCCGACUGAACGCCGGCGUGGGGUGCCCAGCCUCCACAACCGGCGACGCGACCCUCCCCGCCGCGCGCCCCCCGCCCGCCUGCAACUUUUGCGGGGGUAGCCGGGGCUCCGGCCUCGGCGGCUUUCUAAGCCCCCUUCCUUACAACAGGAUCCAAAAUCCCGUCCUAGAUUUCUUCUACCUCCCCUUCCAGAACUUCCUCUUUUGGCAUCAGUAAUCCUCGGAAUCUCAUCACCCUAGAUUGAUUUCGAUUCUUAUAAUUACUGACUUUUUCACCGUUAUUUUCUUCUUCGCUGUUCGUCGAUCGAUCUACAGCCCCUUUUCGCCUCAUACAAUUCUUUUCUUCGAUUUUUUCAUCGCCGCCGCCGCCAGAAACGAAUAGCAGAGAAAUUCCUGACUGCAUACGGCACAAAGAAACAGAAAAAUUUCUGACUUUUCCCCCCAGUGGAUUAGCUUUCUCCGGUUGUUAAUUCCGUGACGAGAUGCCUGCGCUCGCUGUCGACGCUGCCGCCCCCGUGGCCCACGCCUUCCCCGCGUGCGGCGACGCCUCGCCGCGCUUCGCGGCCGCGCCACUGCUGGGCCCCGCCGUCGCCGUAGCCGCGGCCGCUGCUGCCGACAAGCCCGAGAUGGCCGCCUGGUCGGCCGACCUCUCGUCGGCGCUCUACAACGUCGACGGCUGGGGCGCGCCCUACUUCUUCGUCAACGACGACGGCGACGUCGCGGUGCGCCCGCACGGCGCCGCCACGCUCCCCGGCCAGGAGAUCGACCUCGCCAAGGUCGUCGCCCGGGCGGCCGGCGCGCGCGCCGGCGGCGGGCUCGGCCUCGCGCUGCCGCUGCUCGUGCGCUUCCCCGACGUGCUGCGCCACCGCGUCGAGACCCUCAACGCCGCCUUCGCCUACGCCGUGCGCUCCACGGGCUACGCCGGGCGGUACCAGGGCGUCUACCCCGUCAAGUGCAACCAGGACCGGUACGUGGUCGAGGACAUCGUCGAGUUCGGCGCGCCCUUCGGGUUCGGCCUCGAGGCCGGCUCCAAGCCCGAGCUGCUGCUCACCAUGAGCUGCCUCGUCGCCCGCGGCAGCCCCGACGCCCUGCUCAUCUGCAACGGCUACAAGGACCUCGAGUACGUCUCGCUCGCGCUCAUCGCCCGCACCAUGGGCCUCAACACCGUCAUCGUGCUCGAGCAGGAGGAGGAGCUCGACAUUGUCGUCGAGGCCAGCCGCCGCCUCAACAUCCGCCCGGUGGUCGGCAUGCGCGCCAAGCUGCGCACCAAGCACGCCGGCCACUUCGGCGCCACCUCCGGCGAGAAGGGCAAGUUCGGCCUCAACGCCGCGCAGAUUCUCUCCGUGGUGGCCAAGCUCAAGGCCCUCGCCAUGCUCGACUGCCUCCAGCUCCUGCACUUCCACAUUGGCUCCCAGAUCCCCACCACCGCCCUGCUCGCCGACGGCGUUGGCGAGGCCGCGCAGAUCUACUGCGAGCUCGCCCGCCUCGGCGCGGCCAUGCGCGUCAUUGACGUCGGCGGCGGCCUCGGCAUCGACUACGACGGGACGCACUCGGCGCAGACCGACAUGUCGGUGGCCUACAGCCUGGAGGAGUACGCGGCGGCCGUGGUCGCCGCCGUCGGCCGCGUCUGCGACCGCAAGGGCGUGCAGCACCCUGUCAUCUGCAGCGAGAGCGGCCGCGCGCUGGUGUCGCACCACUCGGUCCUCAUCUUCGAGGCCUUCUCCGCGACGGCGCCGGCUUCCAACAUGAUGGACCCGGCCACCGCCUACCUGCUCGACGAGCUCACCGACGACUGCCGCAGCGACUACCGCAACCUCAUGGCCUCCGCCGUGCGCGGCGACUUCGACACCUGCGGCCUGUACGCCGACCAGCUGAAGCGGCGCUGCGCCGAGCAGUUCAAGGAGGGGGUCCUCGGGCUGGAGCACCUCGCCGCCGUGGACGGGCUCUGCGAGAUCGUCGCCCGCGGCAUGGGCGCGGCGGAGGGGCCGCGCAGGUACCACAUCAACCUGUCGGUGUUCACCUCGCUGCCGGACAUGUGGGCCAUCGAGCAGCUCUUCCCCAUCAUCCCCAUCCAGCGCCUCCAGGAGCGGCCCGCCGUGGACGGCGUGCUCUCGGACCUGACCUGCGACAGCGACGGCAAGGUGGACCAGUUCAUCGGCGGCAGGAGCAGCCUCCCCCUGCACGAGCUCCCGACCCACGGCACCCGCGGCUACUACCUGGGCAUGUUCCUGGGCGGCGCCUACCAGGAGGCGCUGGGCGGCCUGCACAACCUGUUCGGCGGGCCGAGCGUGGUGCGCGUCUCCCAGAGCGACGGGCCACACUGCUUCGCCGUGACGCGCGCCGCGCCAGGCCCGUCGUGCGCCGACGUGCUCCGCGCCAUGCAGCACGAGCCGGAGGUGAUGUUCGAGGUGCUCAAGCAGAGGACCACCGACGACGGCGCCACCGCCGCGGCGCUCGCCAGGGCGUUCGGGUCAAUGCCGUACCUGUCGUUCGACGCCGAGGAGGCCUCGGCCAUGAGCGGCGCGGAGUCGAGCGGCAUGAGCAGCGACUCGGAGGGGUCGGCUGCCGGCGCCGCCGAGGAUGAUGACGAGGAGUGGGAGUUCAUGCGCGGGCUCACCGUGUGAGGGCGAGCUCUUUCUAUAUCUAUCACCGGUCGAACCGGCCGGUGAUGUUGUAUCGUGUCACUCAUGGUCGUAGCGAGGUCGUCGGGCGUCUCGUCGCCGUUUAGUUUCACCGCCGGAGUUUGUUUUGGCGCCAUCUUUUUUAUUUCCCAUGCGUCAGUCCACUGUUUCUUUCAACUUUUUUCUCUUGGAAUAAAUAACAAAAGGAAACUAUCAGUACUAUGUUUCUUUCGAUUGCAAUUUGUUUACUCCGGC
RNAcentral lists this ribosomal RNA (3187 nucleotides) under Triticum aestivum (bread wheat). RNAcentral's name for it is "partial small subunit ribosomal RNA". The record is from RNAcentral. Lineage: Eukaryota; Viridiplantae; Streptophyta; Magnoliopsida; Poales; Poaceae.